UGAUCAUAUAUUGUAUUAAGUAUUACUACUAUUAUAUUGUCUAUAAUACUUUUAUGAUCAUAUAUUGAAAGGUUUGCUAUUAAGUUCAGCCUAAAUUACUUGCAUGAUUGAGCGAGAAUUGUUAAUUGUCGUCGCAUUCGAUUGAAAAAGUUAAAAAAAUAGAGAAACUUUCAGAAAUCGAUGAAUGAUUUUACUAUUUUUUACUCAGGUGAAGGUAACACCAAAGAGAAAGCAAAGUGUCAAACAAAAACCAUGUUUAAAAGUUAAUGGUAGAUAUGAGUACAAGAAGAUCAAAAGCUCGGAAAAUGUAAAAACUAUUGCAGUGUCACUCAGUCAGUCCAGAUUUUUAAAAUAGAAUAAAGUUUUCAUUCAAAAAUAAAACAAAUAAUAUAAAAAAAUAAAAAAGUUUGAGGAUUAAAACAUUAGUUCAAACUUACUUAAAACUGUCCAUUUAUAUCUAAAUAAAAUAAGAAUAUAUUAUGGAAAAAAAACUCCAUGUUUGAAACUUCUCAUUCAAGUAGCUCACCUGUUACAAAUAUUUUUGAUGUAAUUUCUGCUGAAGAUCCUCCAUGCUCUAAUGUGCAGACAUAUUGUGAUGCAGUAGAAAACGUGGUUGAUUAUAAUAAAAAUAAAAAAAAUUUGGAUUUUAGUUUAAAUAAUUCUGACUUUCAGGAGAAUAUAGAUAAAUUAGCUAGCUUUUAAGAUUCUGGUGGUAAGUCUUGAGAAAACUGUGAAUUUAAGUACAGUUUACGAAAAUGGGCUUUAGAGUUUUAGAUAACAACAAAAGCAUUUUCAUCACUUUUAGCAUUAUUGACAAAUUAAUUUUUUUAUUUACAAUUACCAAAAGAUCCUAGAACUCUUCUUCAGAAAAAAUCUAUUAUUCUGAUUAACAUUAUUGCAGGAGGAGAAUAUUGGCGUAAUGGCUUUCAGCAGCGGAUAUUGAUAGUUUAGCUAGUUUAAAUUUAAAACGCAUUGAUCCUUGUCAGUCUGAAUUAAUGUUGAUUGACUGCAAUUGCUUAAAAGUACAAAUUGUCAAUUUUACGUUCAAUUGAACAGUUUAAAAAGAAAAAAUAGUAUAACAAACAUCCAUUUUUAUUAGGACUUUUUUAUGGUAAUACCAUACCCAGAUAUGCCUCUGAGUAUCUAAAAUAUUUGUCGAAGAUGUCAAUACCCUUAUUAGUGAAGGUAUUAAUAUUUGUGGAAAAGUAUACAGAUUUAAAAUAUCUUCAUUUAUUUGUGAUACACCCACGUGAUGAUACACCCACGUGAUGAUACACCCACGUGAUGAUACACCCACGUGAUGAUACACCCACGUGAUGAUACACCCACAGCAGUUUCAAAUUGACUUAUUGGAACUUUAUUCUGAGCAUACUCAGCUUACCACUUGUAAAACAUGAGAAAAAUUAGGAUUUUUAUUUAUUA
Hydra vulgaris (swiftwater hydra) is the source of this 1422-nucleotide non-coding RNA. The record is from RefSeq and is a predicted model, not a curated record. NCBI's taxonomy places the organism in Eukaryota, Metazoa, Cnidaria, Hydrozoa, Anthoathecata, Hydridae.